RNAcentral lists this long non-coding RNA (1113 nucleotides) under Marmota monax (woodchuck). The record is from RNAcentral. Lineage: Eukaryota; Metazoa; Chordata; Mammalia; Rodentia; Sciuridae.
CUAGUUCCACCAGGGCAAAAGCAAGACCGAGGCUGGGAACCUCCUCAGGGUCAGCGAGGAGGACCCUUCCCGGCCUCCCGUGGCUUACGGAGCUCUUUCCACCAAGCUCCUGUCUCGCCACGAUUCCCUGAGAAGCCCGAGAGUCGGUGUGGAGCUCAGGACAGAACUCGGGCUGCCGGUGCCACAGCCCAUGACCAGGAAACUCACCUGCCACUUCCCUUUCCAUCCCAUGGCUUCCUUGCAAUUCCCAAACCCCUUUUGGAAGCAAAUGGGUACAGGCUAUAGAUCACAUGGACACAGGAAUCAGCCCGUGGGCACAGCCUGGCUAAUGCCCGGUAACCCGGAAAGUGCCCAGUCGGCUGUGUCCCCAGUUGCUGGCCCCUCACCGUGGGGUCUGUGCCUGGAGACGCCCCCCUCUGUCCCCCAGAACUGCAGGCUGCGGAGUCGAGGCACCUCUGCUGAGCAGACUCCAGGCCCAGGGCCCGGGGUGUGGCUUGCUCUCCUCUGCCAGCCUCUGCUCUCCAGGGCCUGCAGCUGGCCCCACCUGCACCCUGUCCACUGCAGGAAGCAGAUGCUGCUCUGGGGGACUCCUUUGGCUCCGCUGAGGCAAACCCAGUGCUCCUGGCUUCACUUCAGCGUGGUGGGGUCUUACCCCACUGUGGUCAUCCUGCCUGGGCGCAGCCAGCUGCAAACACACUGUGACCUGGGCAGCCACCCAGGGUCCUGCACAGCAGGUGCCAGCAGCUGUGUGCAGACAGCCCACCUCAGAGCCUGGUGCAGCCCAAGACCCUUCCCCUGAGGGGGGGCGACCCCGGCCUGCACCCACCCCCCACAGUACAGCACACAAACACCCACAGACCGAGACCCACCGCCUCUGGUGGCCACUGCACCUCAGGAGACAGAGGCCAGUAGCCUCCCCACCGGUUCCCACCCUCUGGGAGGAGCAGGGCCCAGCUCUGUGCCCCCACCCCGGGCUGUUUGCUAUUUUCUUGUUGUUGUUAAUCCCUUGCCAGGUGGAUCUGGCACUGUGGGGCUUAAUUAAGCUCAGCCAGCUGUUGCCGAGCGCGGGAUGACGCUCGGCAGGCAGCCUGGAGCAGCAGAGGCAGAGCAGGC